UACGUAGGGUGCAAGCGUUAAUCGGAAUUACUGGGCGUAAAGCGUGCGCAGGCGGUUAUGUAAGACAGGUGUGAAAUCCCCGGGCUUAACCUGGGAACUGCAUUUGUGACUGCAAGGCUGGAGUACGGCAGAGGGGGAUGGAAUUCCGCGUGUAGCAGUGAAAUGCGUAGAUAUGCGGAGGAACACCGAUGGCGAAGGCAGCUUACUAGACUGUAACUGACGCUGAGGCACGAAAGUGUGGGGAUCAAACAGG
This 253-nucleotide ribosomal RNA is filed under the name uncultured bacterium. RNAcentral describes it as "partial 16S ribosomal RNA". It matches the Rfam family "Bacterial small subunit ribosomal RNA", at positions 524 to 776 of the family's 1533-position model. The record is from RNAcentral.